Molecule: long non-coding RNA, 1028 nt
Organism: Megalobrama amblycephala (Wuchang bream)
Lineage: Eukaryota; Metazoa; Chordata; Actinopteri; Cypriniformes; Xenocyprididae
Exons: 3
Source: RefSeq, a predicted model, not a curated record
UAACCCUAACCCUGUAGUGAGUACAUGUAGUUAAUUAAUAUUACUCAGUACUUAAAUGUAUAAUUACAUUGUAACACAUACACCUUAAAAUAAAGUGUAACCAAGUAAACUUUUAGAAACUAAAACGUGGGCUAAUUUAGUCCCAAGAAGUAUUAAAAUAGUACACUUACAAGUAUACUAUGAAUACAUUUAUAUUAGUAUACUUACUACAUAAUAAAAUUAAAGUACACUUAUUUUUUUAAGGGUGCAAAUUACUUGAAUUGCUUUGACUUUUAGAUUGUCUUUCUUUCUUAGCAUGUAGAUAUUUGUUUAUUUACUGUCUGCUUUGUUUUAGCACCCGAUUCACAAAAGGAACCGCUGUGAUCCAGACACCAGAUUUGACUCCUAAUCAACACCUAACCUGUCAAAAUUUGGUUCACUACAUUAUCACAUCCAAACCCAUGACCAGAUGUGAUGCUUUUCCACAUCAUGUGAUGAACUUCUGUUGCUUUAAUCUAUAGGAAACAUAUCUUGGACAGUGGGUGGUUAGCAAAUAAGUUUCUGGUUUUUGCGGUCCCUAAUAUUUAUACAUCCACCACACUAACCACCUCCGUCUCUUCCCAAGCCAUUUCCUUCAGCAAUAUUACACUCUGUUUUCUGUGUAACCAUGUACGAUAUGGAUCUUCACUAGCGGGCUUCAAUGGGAGUAUUGUCUUAAAGGCGGAAAAAAGGAAAAAAGACUUAUCAGCACAUUUUUCUGCAACAGAGCACAAAGUCUAUCAAGUCAAGUCAGUAACAGCAGCCCACAUUCCCGUUAUGCUGUUGGAAAAACAAGUCUACGAUAUCUUUCCGGACCGCUGGAAGGUGGAAACACAGAACUGUGGUUAAUCAGAUGAGGGUUUUUUUUUGUUUUUUUUGUGGGGAUUCCUGAAAGAGUGAUUUCCUUUGUUGGAGCAUAUGCAGGCCAUGCGGCAUGACUCACCUUGAGCAGACAAACCUGUCAAGUUGCCUUCAGGAGCUGCUUCGGGAAGCGAGAGAGAGAGAGAGAG